GACGAACGCUGGCGGCGUGCUUAACACAUGCAAGUCGAACGGACAGGCCCUGCUCUUGUGCGGUGGUCGAGUGGCGAAGGGGUGAGUAACACGCGAGUAACCUGUACCUGUCUUUGGGAUAACUUCAGGAAACAGGGGCUCAUAUCGGAUAGGAGCUACUGCUGCAUGGUGGGCGUUGGUAAGUUUCGGUGGUUGGGGGUGGACUCGCGGCUUAUCAGCUUGUUGGUGGGGUAGUGGCUUACCAAGGCUAUGACGGGUAGCCGGCCUGAGAGGGGGACCGGCCACAUUGGGACUGAGAUACGGCCCAGACUCCUACGGGACGCAACAGUGGAGAAGAUUGCACAGUGGGCGGAAGCCAGAGGCAACAACGCCGCGUGCGGGAUGACGUCCUUCGGGUAGGAAACCACUUUCGCCUGUUACGAGGCGUUAGUGACGGUAAUGGAUAAAGAAGCACCGGCUAACUACGUG
This 468-nucleotide ribosomal RNA is filed under the name uncultured bacterium. Its description in RNAcentral is "partial 16S ribosomal RNA". It matches the Rfam family "Bacterial small subunit ribosomal RNA", at positions 28 to 507 of the family's 1533-position model. The record is from RNAcentral.